This 250-nucleotide ribosomal RNA is filed under the name uncultured bacterium. Its description in RNAcentral is "partial 16S ribosomal RNA". It matches the Rfam family "Bacterial small subunit ribosomal RNA", at positions 524 to 773 of the family's 1533-position model. The record is from RNAcentral.
GACGAACCGUGCGAACGUUGUUCGGAAUCACUGGGCUUAAAGGGCGCGUAGGCGGUCGAUCAAGUCCGGGGUGAAAUCCUGCAGCUUAACUGUAGAAGUGCCUUGGAUACUGAUCGGCUCGAGGGAGGUAGGGGUCUGUGGAACUUCUGGUGGAGCGGUGAAAUGCGUUGAUAUCAGAAGGAACGCCGGUGGCGAAAGCGGCAGACUGGACCUCUUCUAACGCUGAGGCGCGAAAGCUAGGGGAGCAAAC